GUGCUUGCUUCAGCAGCACGUAUACUAAAAUUGGAAUCAUACAGAGAAGAUUAGCAAGGCCCCUGCUCAAGGAUGACACACAAAUGCGUGAAACAUUCCAUACUUUA
Dromiciops gliroides (monito del monte) is the source of this 107-nucleotide small nuclear RNA. NCBI's taxonomy places the organism in Eukaryota, Metazoa, Chordata, Mammalia, Microbiotheria, Microbiotheriidae. The record is from RefSeq and is a predicted model, not a curated record.